GCUGGGCAUGGUGGGGCGUGCCUGUAAUCCCAGCUACUCGGGAGGCUGAGGCAGGAGAAUUGCUUGAACUCAGGAGGCAGAGGUUGCAGUGAGCCGAGAUUAUGCCACUGCACUUCAGCCUGGGUGACAGAGCUAGACUCUGUUUCAA
This 148-nucleotide non-coding RNA is filed under the name Pan troglodytes (chimpanzee). Lineage: Eukaryota; Metazoa; Chordata; Mammalia; Primates; Hominidae. The record is from Rfam by way of RNAcentral.